GAAUUGCGAUAAGUAAUGUGAAUUGCAGAAUUCAGUGAAUCAUCAAAUCUUUGAACGCACAUUGCGCUUUCUGGUAUUCCGGAAAGCAUGCCUGUUUGAGAAUCGAUCAACUCUCACAGGAACAAGUUUGGUAUUCGUACUGAGCUUGUUUCAGUGGAUUUGGGUUAUUUGCGUUUGCGCAAUGACCUUCAAUUCAAUGUAUGGCCGCCGUCUGCUGAUGGUACUAAGGUUUGAGUGCAUGAAUAAGGUUAAUUCCUUUUUGAUUUCCCUCUUUCUGUGUACAUUUUUGGCACUCUGUGGACUUCUCAAAUCAAUUUUCACUACGUGGAUCAUUUUGAUCCAUGUUUUGAACACUUGGUCUCAAAUCAGGUAGGAAAACCCGCUGAACUUAA
This 392-nucleotide unclassified non-coding RNA is filed under the name uncultured fungus. RNAcentral's name for it is "sequence contains ITS1". The stretch from base 1 to 105 matches the Rfam family "5.8S ribosomal RNA", at positions 50 to 154 of the family's 154-position model. The record is from RNAcentral. Lineage: Eukaryota; Fungi.